CUUCACCAGCGUCUGGACAGCUCCUCCACUCCCAUAGACCUCCUAGGUAAGUACAAAGUAACACACAAGUCCCUGAGGGCACAGGUAAGUAACAGAGGUAAGGAUGUAGCAAGGUAACUAGGUCAUUCCCCUGGAUGUACACCGGUGUAUUCGAAGCGAGUAACUUUUAACUCGUAGCACAGAUAGGUAUUGAGCAAGGUGACUGACUCUUCACACUGGGCUUACAGGGCGUAUUCAAGGUCAAUAGCUUUUAGCGCGUGCAGACAGGUAUGUAUUCAACAAAGUGACUGUAUCUUCACGCUGGGCUUACAGGGCGUAUUCAAGGUCAAUAGCUUUUAGCUCGUACAGACAGGUAAGUAUUCAACAAAGUGACUGUAUCUUCACGCUGGGCUUACAGGGCGUAUUCAAGAUCAAUAACUUUUAGCUUUCCCCACAAUAUCCACACAAUACCUUGUUUUGCAUUCACGCUUCACCUCCUUCAGGCUAGGUACGGGGAACGGAGUUAUAGGCGGGCGUAGGUGGGAUAGGUGGGCAUCGCCACGGCAGCCUACGUUCUCUCCAACAGGAACUUUUCUCGGCCUGGAGGGCGAGUACAGACAACAGGGACACGGCACAGCACUGCAAAACUUCGGUGUACACACGUCAAAGACAGACUCACCCACUGCACUACACACACUUCAGUGACUUUUAAGGUCGGUACUCCACGCCCGGUCGGAUUUCGUCCUGGAGGAGUUUACAGUCGCUGGCACGGUAAGUGCUCCAAACUUUACGGUGUGGCCACAGCCAAAUAACAUCCAUUCACCCCCACUCUACUUCGGCUCACCCACUCGUCUCGUCCUCCACGAUGGGGCCACUCAACAAGCUGUUAAUCACUCCAGCAGAUAUUAGUUAUCCAUAUCCAAGUAUGAGCAAUGAUAUGUAAACAAUCCAAUGUACU
This is a long non-coding RNA of Cyprinus carpio carpio, 937 nucleotides long. The record is from Ensembl. NCBI's taxonomy places the organism in Eukaryota, Metazoa, Chordata, Actinopteri, Cypriniformes, Cyprinidae.